CUUUUACGACAGUUUUCCGGCCUAGUUUGCGGCUGCCCCUGACGUGUUGCGUAGGGCGCCUGUGCUUGGGUGGUUUGUGCUUGAGGUUGAGGGUUGCGUCGCUCUCUGGUAAAGGCGUGCAGGUGUUGGCCGCGGCCUCUGAGCUGGGAUGAGCCGUGCUCCCGGUGGAAGCAAGGGAGCCCAGCCGGAGCCAUGGCCAGUACAGUGGUAGCAGUUGGACUGACCAUUGCUGCUGCAGGAUUUGCAGGCCGUUACGUUUUGCAAGCCAUGAAGCAUAUGGAGCCUCAAGUAAAACAAGUUUUUCAAAGCCUACCAAAAUCUGCCUUCAGUGGUGGCUAUUAUAGAGGUGGGUUUGAACCCAAAAUGACAAAACGGGAAGCAGCAUUAAUACUAGGUGUAAGCCCUACUGCCAAUAAAGGGAAAAUAAGAGAUGCUCAUCGACGAAUUAUGCUUUUAAAUCAUCCUGACAAAGGUAAGUAGUCAUUAAAUUCUCGUUGAUGUUGUUGGUGUGACUAAUAGUUUAUUAAUGGGAUAAUUUUAUCUCAAAUUCCUGGCUAUUAGAAGGGAAACACUUAAAUCUGUGUGUAAGUCCUGUCUCCUAGGCUGGAGCCAUAUAUUUUUGGUGUCUUAAAAGAAACUGAGUGAAAACUUUACUUACAGAAUGAGCAGAUAUACCUUGAAACGGAGAUUACCUAGAUAGAAACUUAUGGGAUUUAUUUAUUCGUUUCUGAUACACUUCUAUGCAGCUUUGGCUGGCUGUGUUGAAGGAAAGCAAGAAUUUCUUUGAAUACCAAAAAAUAGACCAUAGAAUUCAUGUUCUAGUGUUUGUAUCCUUUUACUUAACAGGAGAGGGCUUUCAUUAAUAAAAAGGGUUUUGACAUUUUAAACAGGGUUAUAAUUGUUUGAUAUCUACUUCACAGUAUCUUUUAUGAAAUUUAGCUUGUAUUAUAUGGAGGGCUUCUGAUUCAGUAGGUCGGCAGUGGAGCCCCAUAAAUACGCAUUUAUACUCAAUUUCCUGUUAUUUCUUGCUGGUCUUAGGACCAUACUUUGAGAAUCACUCCUCCAGCAGAUUCAUAGGAAAGCAGCUGUAGAUGACAUUGUGAAGGGACAGUAGAUAAUAGGAAAAGAAAAACUGGACAGAAAAAGGAUGUAAAGCAAACUGGGAUCUUUCCAGUAAACAGCUCAGAAGCCUCUGAGAAUAUCACAGUAUUAAAAUAACAUGGUAUAAUUGAUGUUCAUUUAUGACCUGUAAUCAUGAAUAGGCUAACACCAGUUCAAAGGCAUAUAUAUAUAUGUAUCUAAUAUAUAUGAUAGAAAUCCUAUUUCUAUCAGUUUAAGCUUUCUAAAAAGGUGUUAUUUUUGUAGGAAUCUCUCCCACGUAAAUUACUUCAUUUCUCAUUGGUCACAUAUAUUACCAUAUAUCUGGUCAUCCAGUUGCAGUGUCAGGGUUAUUUUUUAAAAAAUAAAACACUGUUUCUGCUAAAUCUCCCUCAGAUAAGCAUUGGAGUCAUUGAAACAAGAGUAGCUUUUUACCAAGCAGAAAUUGAGAAUCCAUAUUGUAACUGUUCUUUUUUCUUUCUUCCUAUAGGAGGAUCUCCUUAUAUAGCAGCCAAAAUCAAUGAAGCUAAAGAUUUACUAGAAGGUCAAGCUAAAAAAUGAAGUAAAUGUGUGAUGAAUUUUAAGUUCAUAUUAGUUUAUGUAUAUGAGUACUAAGUUUUUAUAAUAAAAUGCCUCAGAGCUACAAUUUUAAAAA
Molecule: RNA transcript, 1753 nt
Organism: Pongo pygmaeus (Bornean orangutan)
Lineage: Eukaryota; Metazoa; Chordata; Mammalia; Primates; Hominidae
Gene: DNAJC19
Gene name: DnaJ heat shock protein family (Hsp40) member C19
Exons: 6
Source: RefSeq, a predicted model, not a curated record